CUGAAGGCAGCCGAGGCAAGGCGAGGGACGUGCAAAUCCCAGCUGUAGCUCCCACCCGGUUUGCGGCGCUUGACUGAAAAAGCGGAUUUCCAGGAGCUGGAGGUGACUUCAGUGCAAGGCUCUUUCCUAAUACCAUAGAGGUGCCCCGGGAGCACAGAUGGUAUUUUCACCACUUGUUCGCCUCUGAGCGUGGCAACUGACCUCUCAGGAAUCCUUGAUGUGCUAGGAAUGUAACUCCGUUAAGGAAGAAAACUCCAGGCUUUUUAAGUCAAGCAAAAUGUCAGACGUGGAUUGUGCUCUUGGGGGAGGGCAGGCAAGGUGUUUUUUCUAAAUAACCCUCCCCUGGCCUCCCCAGGAUGGUGAAACUUCAGAGCUGGCUCUAGAAUAAAUGAUUCAAAGGAACUUGA
This is a long non-coding RNA of Tupaia belangeri chinensis (Chinese tree shrew), 407 nucleotides long. RefSeq lists it as uncharacterized. Lineage: Eukaryota; Metazoa; Chordata; Mammalia; Scandentia; Tupaiidae. The transcript is spliced from 2 exons. The record is from RefSeq and is a predicted model, not a curated record.